CAAGUCGAGGGGCAUCGCGGGUAGCAAUAUCUGGCGGCGACCGGCAAACGGGUGCGGAACACGUACGCAACCUUCCUUUAAGCGGGGAAUAGCCCAGGGAAACUUGGAUUAAUACCCCAUAAGAUUAUGGUGUGGUAUCACACAGUAAUUAAAGCUCCGGCACUUAAAGAUGGGCGUGCGGCUGAUUAGGUAGUUGGCGGGGUAACGGCCCACCAAGCCUACGAUCAGUAACUGGUGUGAGAGCACGACCAGUCACACGGGCACUGAGACACGGGCCCGACUCCUACGGGAGGCAGCAGUAAGGAAUAUUGGUCAAUGGACGCAAGUCUGAACCAGCCAUGCCGCGUGGAGGAUGAAGGCCCUCUGGGUUGUAAACUUCUUUUAUUUGGGAAGAAACCCAUCUUUUCUAAGGUGGUUGACGGUACCAGAUGAAUAAGCACCGGCUAACUCCGUGCCAGCAGCCGCGGUAAUACGGAGGGUGCAAGCGUUAUCCGGAUUCACUGGGUUUAAAGGGUGCGUAGGUGGGCAGGUAAGUCAGUGGUGAAAUCUCCGGGCUUAACCCGGAAACUGCCGUUGAUACUAUCUGUCUUGAAUAUAGUGGAGGUGAGCGGAAUAUGUCAUGUAGCGGUGAAAUGCUUAGAUAUGACAUAGAACACCCAUUGCGAAGGCAGCUCGCUACACUAUCAUUGACACUGAGGCACGAAAGCGUGGGGAUCAAACAGGAUUAGAUACCCUGGUAGUCCACGCCCUAAACGAUGGAUACUCGACAUCAGCGAUACACAGUUGGUGUCUGAGCGAAAGCAUUAAGUAUCCCACCUGGGAAGUACGACCGCAAGGUUGAACUCAAAGGAUUGACGGGGGGUCC
Molecule: ribosomal RNA, 865 nt
Filed under: uncultured Sphingobacteriia bacterium
Lineage: Bacteria; Pseudomonadati; Bacteroidota; Sphingobacteriia
Description: bacterial SSU rRNA
Rfam family: Bacterial small subunit ribosomal RNA
Source: RNAcentral